GGCUCAGGAUGAACGCUAGCGACAGGCCUAACACAUGCAAGUCGAGCGGCAGCACCUCGGGUGGCGAGCGGCGCACGGGUGAGUAACGCGUAUGUAACCUGCCCAUGAGUGGGGGAUAGCCCGGUGAAAACCGGAUUAAUACCCCAUGACACCAUUGUCUGACAUCAUUUAAUGGUUAAAGAUUCAUUGCUCAUGGAUGGACAUGCGUUGGAUUAGCUAGUCGGCGGGGCAACGGCCCACCGAGGCUACGAUCCAUAGGGGCUCUGAGAGGAAGGUCCCCCACAUUGGUACUGAGACACGGACCAAACUCCUACGGGAGGCAGCAGUGAGGAAUAUUGGUCAAUGGGCGGAAGCCUGAACCAGCCAAGUCGCGUGAAGGAUGAAGGUAUUAUGUUAAUUGUAAACUUCUUUAGCUGUGGAGAAAUAAGGUGCAUGCAUGCACCGAUGCUAGUACACAGAGAAUAAGGAUCGGCUAACUCCGUGCCAGCAGCAGC
RNAcentral lists this ribosomal RNA (494 nucleotides) under uncultured bacterium. Its description in RNAcentral is "bacterial SSU rRNA". It matches the Rfam family "Bacterial small subunit ribosomal RNA", at positions 21 to 518 of the family's 1533-position model. The record is from RNAcentral.